RNAcentral lists this ribosomal RNA (800 nucleotides) under Streptomyces cellulosae. RNAcentral describes it as "bacterial SSU rRNA". It matches the Rfam family "Bacterial small subunit ribosomal RNA", at positions 76 to 884 of the family's 1533-position model. Lineage: Bacteria; Bacillati; Actinomycetota; Actinomycetes; Kitasatosporales; Streptomycetaceae. The record is from RNAcentral.
GAACCACUUCGUGUGGGGAUUAGUGGCGAACGGGUGAGUAACACGUGGGCAAUCUGCCCUGCACUCUGGGACAAGCCCUGGAAACGGGGUCUAAUACCGGAUACUGAUCGCCUUGGGCAUCCUUGGUGAUCGAAAGCUCCGGCGGUGCAGGAUGAGCCCGCGGCCUAUCAGCUUGUUGGUGAGGUAAUGGCUCACCAAGGCGACGACGGGUAGCCGGCCUGAGAGGGCGACCGGCCACACUGGGACUGAGACACGGCCCAGACUCCUACGGGAGGCAGCAGUGGGGAAUAUUGCACAAUGGGCGAAAGCCUGAUGCAGCGACGCCGCGUGAGGGAUGACGGCCUUCGGGUUGUAAACCUCUUUCAGCAGGGAAGAAGCGAAAGUGACGGUACCUGCAGAAGAAGCGCCGGCUAACUACGUGCCAGCAGCCGCGGUAAUACGUAGGGCGCGAGCGUUGUCCGGAAUUAUUGGGCGUAAAGAGCUCGUAGGCGGCUUGUCGCGUCGGUUGUGAAAGCCCGGGGCUUAACCCCGGGUCUGCAGUCGAUACGGGCAGGCUAGAGUUCGGUAGGGGAGAUCGGAAUUCCUGGUGUAGCGGUGAAAUGCGCAGAUAUCAGGAGGAACACCGGUGGCGAAGGCGGAUCUCUGGGCCGAUACUGACGCUGAGGAGCGAAAGCGUGGGGAGCGAACAGGAUUAGAUACCCUGGUAGUCCACGCCGUAAACGGUGGGCACUAGGUGUGGGCGACAUUCCACGUCGUCCGUGCCGCAGCUAACGCAUUAAGUGCCCCGCCUGGGGAGUACG